ACGAACGCUGGCGGCAUGCCUAACCCAUGCAAGUCGAACGAGACCUUCGGGUCUAGUGGCGCACGGGUGCGUCACGCGUGGGAACCUGCCCUUAGGUUCGGAAUAACUCCCCGAAAGGGGUGCUAAUACCGGAUAAUGUCUUCGGACCAAAGAUUUAUCGCCUUUGGAUGGGCCCGCGUUGGAUUAGCUAGUUGGUAGGGUAAAAGCCUACCAAGGCGACGAUCCAUAGCUGGUCUGAGAGGAUGAGCAGCCACACUGGGACUGAGACACGGCCCAGACUCCUACGGGAGGCAGCAGUGGGGAAUAUUGGACAAUGGGCGAAAGCCUGAUCCAGCAAUGCCGCGUGAGUGAUGAAGGCCUUAGGGUUGUAAAGCUCUUUUACCCGGGAUGAUAAUGACAGUACCGGGAGAAUAAGCACCGGCUAACUCCGUG
Molecule: ribosomal RNA, 432 nt
Filed under: uncultured bacterium
Lineage: Bacteria
Description: partial 16S ribosomal RNA
Rfam family: Bacterial small subunit ribosomal RNA
Source: RNAcentral